This is a long non-coding RNA of Vicia villosa (hairy vetch), 2057 nucleotides long. RefSeq lists it as uncharacterized. The record is from RefSeq and is a predicted model, not a curated record. Lineage: Eukaryota; Viridiplantae; Streptophyta; Magnoliopsida; Fabales; Fabaceae. The transcript is spliced from 4 exons.
AAAAAAUAAAAUAGGCUAGUAUCUUCUUCAUUUCUAAAAAAUACACGCACCAAGAAACCCUUGUCUUCUUCCCCCUUCUUCUUCUACCUCGUUCACCUUUCUUCUUCCACCGUCAACCCUAAAACCUUUGAUUCUUUUUCAAAGUAAGAAUAGAGAUUCAAAAAACAAACCCUCAAAAUCCCUAUUUUUCUCUCUUAAAAAGCAUAACCCUAAUAGCUUCUAAAUCUAUCCCGUCAGCUCCUUCAUAAAUUUUUCUUUUCAAAUGUUAGGUUUUUUGUUACUUUCGAUAUAAAUGUACUAUGUAUUUCCAUCAUAGUCCAUAUUGUCGCCGUACAUCGUCUUGCCGUGGAACUGCGUUUCACCGAACUCUAUCGCCAUACUCUGUUUAUGUUUUUCUUUUUUGGUUUAAAUUUGUGUUUGUCAAGUUCUGUCUCUUUGUUCUUGCAUUUCAGGAUGAUUCAUAGAGAAGAAUUCGACACAAAUAAUUUUGAUUGCGACAUGCUAUGCUUCAAAGGUUGUACUGACAAAUUUGAGUGGAUGCAUCAAUGGUCUUUUUAUGAAGCUUGGUAGAUCUCAAAAGAAAAAUCUGUUUUUGGAAUCAUUGAAGGCAGAAGGUGAAGUCAUUCUUAAAGAUGACUAUGUCUGUUUCAGACAACUGCCUCCACCACUAUUUUUUCCUUCCUUUUAUGCUAUUGCAGUUUUUGCGGGUGCAGGCCUAUUUUGGUUAACGUUUUGACGCCAUUUCAACGGUCCAUUUAUACUGUCAUGUGUUGUAGUUAUGUUUGGUUUCUCUUACUUUAAUUAAUUAUAAUGUUCUCCUUAAAUGAUCUUUGGUUAGGUGAUAGUUAAUAUAUUGGUUCGGUGCAGUUUCGGUGGGUGCAUGCCUGUUCUGGUUCACGUUUUGAGGCCAUUUCAACGGUAUAUUUAUAUUGUCAUGCUUUAUAGUUCUGUUUUGUUUCUCUUACUUUAAUUAAUUGUGUUGUUCUCCUUAAAUGAGCUUUGGUUAGGUGAUAGUACAUAUCUUGGUUCAGUGGUGUUUAUGGGCGUACAGACUUGUUUUGGUUCACGUUUUGAGGCCAUUUCAAUGGUAUAUUUAUAUUGCCAUGCUUUGAAGUUCUGUUUUUUUUUUUUUACUUUAAUUAAUUGUGUUGUUCUCCUUAAAUGACCUUUGGUUAGGUGAUAGUUCAAAUCUUGUUACGGUGUAGUUUCUACGAGCACAAUCCUGUUUUGUUCACAUUUUGAGGUCAUUUCGACUACUACUUAUACUGUCAUGCUUUGUAAUUGGAAUAUUGAUGAAAUGGACCAUCAAUCUUGAUAACAUGGCUCUUUCAGUUGGUUUGAUUUGGCAGUUAUUUUCUUAUUCUACUUGGCCUAGUUAUGUGAUUUUUGUGUUAUAGUGUAAGAUUUUAGAGGAAUUUCUCUAUAAAUGAGGUGGUGUAUGAGGGACAAUUUUAGUUUGGUACUCAUAAUUGUGAUAAAAGUAUGAUGAAAACUUUUCCCUAAUUCAUGUGUGCUUACUUUAUCAAAAUGAGUAAUUAUGUUGCAUUAUUCUUAUGAAUUACUUUUAAUCUGUCAUUUAAAAAACAUUCUAUAUUCCUUCUCUUCAUAAGUUAACCCAUGUUCAUACGCAAAACAUUGAAUCUGAUAUUUAUAUAGGCUUGUAUGAGUUAUAGUUUAUAUAAAUUUGUUAACAAUGUUUUACAUUGCUAUAUCUUUGGACAGUUAUUUGUAGACUUUAAAUUUCCUAACGUGCAACUAAUUAUUUUAUGUGUAUUUCCAUUUCCUGUUUGCAAUGGUAGUAUUCAAGCUCAUGGUCAAUAUCAUAGUGAAAUGAGAUUAAACUAUUCCGGCAAACUUAGAAUCCAACAUGUCAAAGGAGAUGAUGAAAAUGAUAUCUAAUAUCCUUCCUAAUUAGCCUCAGUAUUUCUAUACAUGGCCUACUGCUACAAUUUUUGCUCCAGAAGAAAAGAUGUUGGUUCUUAUAUGCCCCUGGAAGUUUAGACUCUGUUGACAAACUUUGAAUAGCAUGUUGGUUGUAAAUUAUAUAUAUAUAUAUA